AGAACAUCAAGGCAGACAGGAAGUAGCUUGCAUUUGGAAGCUGCAGAGCUGGUGAGACUUUACAGAAAGCUACAGAAAUCCUAUGUUGUUUUCAUCUGGCUCGUGAUGAAAUCACUUUGGGAAUGAUUCUCCAGUAAGCCUCAGAAGCUAAGGAAGAAAACCAGACACAGCUCGUGACCAUAACACAUCUUUAUAUGAAUGAAAGACAGUUGCUCCUGACUAAGUCAACAGAGGAGAUGGAAUGAACAAAGUAGACUAUAACUAUUUGUUUUAAUCCUGGAUCUGAUAAGACAUGAGAAUCGACCUUUGACCUCUCUGGAAAAUCUGAUUAAGUGUCACAAAUUAUUGAUGUUUUCCAUGAAAUGACCCCGAGAGUUUUCCCUCUAUACCAUCAGCUCGCUAAGUAAUUCAGUUGGAGAAUGCAGUAACAGGAGACACUUGGAGUUAAUUCUGCAGUGAUAAUGUGCAGCGACCUUGUUUCCACUGUCAAGGUGACUUCCGGACAUACUGAGUGAAUCUUCACACAGAACGGCACCACAGAGAAAACAACAUGUGUCAGCCCUGUGGGUGGAAGGGACGUGCAAUUUAAAAUGUCUAAUUACACGUUUCACCUCAGGUAAACAUCCUGGAAAAGACACGAUUUUCUGCAGAUUAAUGCAUUCCUUCUUUGGGGCCACAGAUAAAGUAGCAAGGAAAAAUGUAACUAUUAUUUUUCUGCUAUUCUUUAAGUCUUCCAAGGAGUAUACCAAGUGCCUGGGUCUGCCAUGUAAAUCUACAACUUGACCUGACUAUCAGUGACUCUAAAAUAUAAUAAAUUAAAAUGCUAGCAUAUAUAGAAAUAUCAUUGAGGAUUGCUUUUGAUGUCUGAGUAAGUUUAAAAAUCAGGACUGAUGAAGGACCCCAGCAACCCAGAGCGGCAUAGAUACAAACU
Long non-coding RNA from Peromyscus eremicus (cactus mouse), 931 nucleotides. RefSeq lists it as uncharacterized. The record is from RefSeq and is a predicted model, not a curated record. The transcript is spliced from 6 exons. Lineage: Eukaryota; Metazoa; Chordata; Mammalia; Rodentia; Cricetidae.